AAAAAAAUCAGGGGAGAUACCAUGAUCACGAAGGUGGUUUUCCCAGGGCGAGGCUUAUCCAUUGCACUCCGGAUGUGCUGACCCCUGCGAUUUCCCCAAAUGUGGGAAACUCGACUGCAUAAUUUGUGGUAGUGGGGGACUGCGUUCGCGCUCUCCCCUU
Molecule: non-coding RNA, 160 nt
Organism: Erinaceus europaeus (western European hedgehog)
Lineage: Eukaryota; Metazoa; Chordata; Mammalia; Eulipotyphla; Erinaceidae
Source: Rfam